UUUAUGGUGCUCUAACACGGUUUCAGGCUUUUCAAGGAAACUGAAACUGAACAUGGGGCGGGAUUGUGAGUGGCGUUCAAGAUAGACUUUGCAAUGGUGUGUUGUAAAUAAUGACUGUUCUACAUGGCUUGCUCAUUUGGGUGUUUAUCCUAUGAGUCUGUUGGCUUGGUUUAAUAGAAUUAGGCAAGCAAUUCGUUGGAGGGGAUCCAACGAAGCACUGCCUCACCCAGUCAUGAUUUCAAGGUUAAGGCAAUGUCAGAGGUGUCUGUUGUGAGAACCUGGUGAUGAAACUCCAGCGCUGUCACUGGGAUUUUUGGUUGUGCAGUGGCACCAUUAGAAAUGAGAUUAUGGGCAACUAGAAAGACUUAUUUAUUCAGCUGUUAUCUCAUGUUUUGUUUUCUCUGUGAGGCUCGGGCCUGUGUCAGUGAUGUAGUUCAGUGAAAACCACAGGUCACACUGUGCCUUGGUGUGAGGCUGUGAUAACAUUGUGAUCCUCUGCAGUGAGGGGGGCCUAUGGAAACCUGUGGUGCCUCCCUGCUGGCUGAUGUGCCAAAAUAGCCUUUCUUUGGAAACCAGAGUGCAAACUGGUCUCAUCCUGAUGUGCAGUCAGGACAUAGGUGGGAUUUCCUCUGUGUCUCAUGGUAUAGAUGUUGUGUUUAUUUACCUUGAGGCAGAUCUGCAGAAAGAAUAGCUGCUAAGCCCAGUUAAACCUUUCCCCUUAGUAGGUACAGGAUGCUCCAAAUCUGGACUUGUUUUAAAAAAUACAGACUUGUCAAGUGCCAGAAGAGAUGUGCUUUUCAUGGUGGACUCAGAGAGCAAAGAGGAAGCAGAGGUUCAUGUUUGGCCUUGCAACAAGACAGACUGCACCUGUGAGAGCUCUGAAGGGGCAGAGCUACUGCCAGUCAUGCCUGGAUUCUUUGGGUAGGGGUGGCUGAAGGCACUGCUUCUCCCAGCUCUCACUCCUGUUAUGUCAGAGGGGUCAUUAAUUAUGGCUUUGCACCACCGGCUCAAAAGUUGUACAAGGGUCCAGGAGUUUGAAAAUGGAAACAUUUUUGUGUUCACAAAUGUCUUUUAGUAUUCCUGGGUAUGCUGAGAUGUAGCUGUGAGCCUUCUCCUUUUGCUACCACACUUUUUGCGGGUUGGGGACAAGGAAGCAGAGGGAUGGGUCCUCAGAGGAUUUAUGAGUAUGGUUUCUUUGUUUUAGCAGAACCAUAGGGCAGUUUAACUGAUUACUUCAAUUCUCUGCGGUUUCUACUUCCUCUGCGUAGUUUGGGGAACAAGUAAUAGUCAGAAUGGAUUUUCUAGAGCCUUAAAAUGCUCCUAUAGAGGAAUAAAGGUUCAUGUCAUGGUUUAGGGCUGCACAGAUACUACAGAUGGAAAAGAUAAUGCAAAUAAAAAAAUUUGUGUCAGACUAAUACCAAUACAGAACUGGCAAUGUAAGCCAAUGAAACAUUUUCUCACCUGUAUUCAUUUAAACAGUUGGCUGUAAUCUGUUGUCAGAAUGACAAUGGGGAUGUUCUGAAGUUUGCCAGUGCACAGAAUUCAUGUUCUGGUACAACAAUGUCAUACUUGGGCCUGCCCUCACCAUGUUCUGGCAGCUAGGAUCUUCUGAGUGAAAGCUAUCUUUCAAAACAAAAUGGAAAAUCAAGAAAAAGAGCUUUAAGCUAUGCAGACAAAGUUUGUUUUAUUUAACAGGCUUUUGAUGUGAGGGAAGGCAAGUGACAUAUUGAUGUAUUCUUAAGGCUCAUACAAGGUAGCCAGAGAUGAUGAACUAUUUUAUUGAAAAAUCCAUUUCCUUUUGAGUUAAAAAUCUAAAUUCCUCUAAGGACAUAAAAAGUCCUUCUUGUUAAGAAUUCCUUUGCAAAACUGACAUCAUAAAUUGCCUAAUUUUUAGAUGAAAGACCCUUUGAUAACACCAUUUUACAUGAUCCAUGCUCAUGUUAUUGUUGGACAACAUUUUAGAUAUGUUUAAUAUGUCAUGCUUAACAAAAGUUUUUGAAAGACCUUUUCUGUCCUCAGCAUGGAAAAGUUUUUUUCACUUCCUUUUCUUCCAUCAAGCUUAUUUUCCCAGCACUUAUCCUCUCUCAUUAUGCCUUAUCUUUCUUCUGGAUAAGAUUGUUUUCCCAAUUCAUACACAGAAGCCCAGUUGACUUCUGAGUGCAAUCUUUCCAUGCCAUGGUACCCAGAGGUUCAGAGAUAACUCUGUUUGCUCGGGUAAUGUUGGUGAAUAGAACACAAUGCAAUUUUAAAACCUUUUUCUGGAAGGGAAAAAAAAAGAAAAGACUUUAUAUACCUCUGGAGAAUGGAAGUAAAUUACAUUCUUCUAUUAUGUAUGUGAAUCUGAUUACAGGAAUGAUGGAAUUAAUUUAUCUGGUUAUAAAGAACAUGGCAUCAUCUAAAAUGUACAUGAUUAUUUUUAGUUUUGUUGAUUUUAGCUGAACCAUAGACAUUUCUCAGUGUACAUUACAACUGCAUAUUGCUUUCUGAGACAGAGUGAAUGCAGCACUAGAAAGCAAUUAUGGAACUAAUAUAUUUCCCUGAAAUGUACUUCGUGAUGCAGGAUUUUACUCAUGUUUCUAAAAAUUACUUAAACUUCUGCCUAAAUUAUCCUGGUAUCACAAAUAUGCCACUUAGAUCAAUUUAUCUCAAAGAUACUAUCUUGGUAAGGAGAAGUAUUCCAUUACUGGCAAGAAUAACUUGCCUACUAUAAUAAUGGUUUUCCCCAGGUCCAAAAUGUUUUUUUCAGCGAGGAGUGUAAUGCCUGCUUAUUCUGUGCACUGGGGCACCUAAACUGUGAGCCACACAAAACAGAAAGAACAUGGAUUUUGCCACUGAAACACCCAAGCAACAAAGCAGACACUCAUCAUACAAAAGCAACCUCUUCAAACAAACCCUCUGUCAUCGAGUUUCCUGAUGAAUUUUAUGUAGGAAUCAAUUUUCCUUUUUCUCCUUGUACCAUAUGUUGCCACAGUCUCAACUUCAAGAAUGAUCAGAGACCUAUAAAACAUGAUCUAAGGGGAAAGAUUGAAAGAAUUGGGGUUGUUUAGUCUGAAGAAAAGGAAGGUGUUGGGAAAAAUGGUAAUGAUCUUUCAAAAUGUAAAAUGUUUCUCUGCAGUGAGAAGAAAUAAGUUUUUCUUUAUGUCCAGUGGGUCUAGGGCAAGAGGUGAUGGACGUGGAGAUUUAAAGUAGACAUUAGGAAAUUAUUUCAAUGUAGUUUGGCACUGAAAAUGAUUAUCUGGGGAUCUCAUUUGCUGAAGGCUUUGAAAGGCGGAUUAGGUCACAUGUCUCAGGAAUGGUUUUAGUUGCAGUAGAUUAUAUGGAGAUAACCCCAAAAGGUUCUUGGCUGGUUUAUGGUAUUUUGUUUCUCUCAGGUGAUUUACAGCAGAUGUUUUACUGCUGUGUUAUUUUGGUUCUCACUCUUCAUUAUAUCCUCAGAAAGUGCCAGUAAAAAAGGAUGUCAGUAGGCAAAAAUUGGGUAACUGUCCUUCUGCAAUGACAGAUUGAUAAAAUGACACUUGAAUAGAUUCAUGAGAACCUAGGGGAUGUGACCUGUCAGACAACUCUGCCAAAGUCCAAGAUCACCUAUAUUUUUGUUGUUCCUUGACAGAAAACUCUUGAAAUUCUUCCUGGUUACUGAAUGAUGGCUACAGAUGAUUAUUCUGAAGGGUACUAUUUUGCACUUCCUGCUGAAACUCUGGUCUGUCACAGCUUAGCUGGCUGAAUUGCAGCAGACAAGUUGCUGGAGACUGAACAGAAGGAAUGUGAGAAGGAACCAUUGAAGAUUUUGUACUAAAAGCAUGAGGUGGUUGUGAAUGGCUGCCCUUGGGAAAUUCACUUUAUCCUCUGGCCAGAAAUGUUUCUUCUUGAUAUUUAGUUUUACUUUUUGAUUAGUCUGUGUUUGUACGGUCUCCUCUUGAAGGGACAGGCUGGAAAUUUGUACCAGUAUUUGCUUUUGUGUACUCAAACACUACUGUGUUUCCUGAAAAGAAAUUCUGGAAAACAACUAUAUCAUGCAGAGAACAGAAAUUAUCAUAAAUUAAGCCUCUAACAGUAUGAAAAGGAAUACAGGAAGGUAAUUGUACUAUUCCUUAGUCUGUUUUGAUUUUGGUUGUGUGGACAUUCCUAAAAGACAUGAAAAUCUCUCUUGUUUAUUUACAUGACAAAAGAGGAGACAGACCUUUUAUUUUAGCUGAACAUACUAUUUAAACCAACACCACAGUGAAACAAGACAGCUAAAGGUACUGUAAGUCUAUUCUGUUUUUUUUAAUGUUCUGAAAUCUUUGUGUCUAAGAAUAAAUGAUUUUUCUUUUCAUUUACUGUGAAGUGCUUGCCUACAGUUAGUUUUUGUAACAGCAGACUGUUCCCUCUUUCAGUUAAGUUUACAAAAGUUGCACACUCUGUGGAGCUACUUCAGCUUUUCUUUGGAGGUGUUAUCACCUUAGCAGUGGACUUGCACACUGCUUCAGAAAUUCUGAAGGCUGCAUGUUGCCUUAGAAAAUGUCUCAAAACCCACAGGCACUCCAUUUGGUGUUUUGGUCCGUGUGCUGUUCCACAAACUCUCAUGUAGACAUACGGGACUGCACAGAAUCUCUGCAAGACACAGGGUGAUUGCAGUGGUGCAUUUUGCCUCUGGCUCACAAGCUGUGCACCGGCACAGUGCAAGGGUUAAGGACAAGAUAAAAUCACUUGCUGCUGUUUUGAUUUCCUGAGGAGUUGUUGUUUUUACAUGAGAAAUGAGGAAUGCAGUGAGGACCAUUCCUGUGCCAAAAUUUCAAAGUAUGUUCCUGUCAACUCUGCUGCCAUUCAUAGCUUUUACUUCAGAAUCUUACAUUUGGAUAUAAAGAUCUCUGUUGUAGAAGCCCCAUCUUGUGGACAACCAAUCAAUGACUACUUCAGCACAACUGAAAUUUGGAAUACUUAGAAAAUCUGAAGAUAUUUUGGUAGUUUUUGCAACCAACUGGGGAGUCUUCAUAUUUCUGGACAAUAUAGAAUCUUCAUUUAUGUGUAGAAAUCAGCAUGUGCUUUUCAAAGACUGUUUCCACAGGAAGAAAUUGUGAAUUGCAGAAAAGUAUUAACACUGGGAUGGAAACAAGGUUGGUGCCCUCAGAACCCUGUUUUAAGUCCAAACCAGCUGAGACACAAGCCUGAAUCCUGCCUUGAAUUCCCAAAAUAGUGUUCUGUAGCACUUGGAUAGUACAAAUGAGUCUUUAAGUGGCAAAAUUUUAUAAGGGCAGAAGGACAUAUUAAAAAAAAAGUUGAGAGAGAAAGAAUAGCAAAAUAUGCAUGGAAACUAAAUCUGGAAAUAACCUUAAGGAGAUUGUUUGUUUCAGCACAAAAUAAUGGAAGAGGUCAAACAACUCCAGACUCAGUGAGUCAACACACUUGAUAAGAAGAGUAUUAGGAAGGUUAAAAGAGUGUGAAAACAAGCCUAUGAUAAAAGCCUUUCAAAUUUCAGUAUGACAGUGGUAAGAUAUAUUAGAUAUAUUCUAUAUAAAUAGAAUAAUAUAUACAUAUAAUUAGAAUGUCUUUUUGCUGCUCUGAAGAAAUUGGGUUACUCUAUGAUAGUUUUCUGUUUCUUCCAUAUGAGGAAAGUAGGAACCUUCGUGAGAGUUUUCCGUGUAGCAAUUGAGGCUGCAAUGAAGGAGCCAGAAAAUGUGGCGACAUCUAGGGAAAGGUUGGCAGAAGUGCCUCCAGCUGGAACACCUCCCACUGAAACUGCAGCCACUUUUUCUUCUGUGAAGGUGGCGUAUCCAGGGAAAGCUUUGUUGGAGUGGCUCCUUUGGAAGGGGUGCUAAGAGUAAAGAAGAUUGUGGGAUGUGAAUGGUGCCAUUGCAGCCCCUUUGAUGGGAGGAGAACAGGAGUUGCUAUUCCUCCACAUGGAUAUCUGACUGAGCAAGGGGAUUAACAGAGCCCAGUCCCUUUGUCCAGAGCUGUGGUGGUGCCACAUUGCACCAGUCACCACCACAGGAUCCACAUCCCCAGGGAUGGCUCCUGGUCCCUGUGCCACAUCAGCCAGGUAGAAUGCUGCUGUUUGCAGAGGAAGGACACCAGCUGCAACAAGAGUGGUGUCUGUUCCAGAGCGAGGAGUGAGCUCCACUGGAGAUGAUAUGGACUGUAAUCCAAGAUCAGGAAGGAGACAAUGCGUUGCCAUCUGAAACACAAGAAAGAUCAAAAUAAGUUUUCAGUGUGCCACCAAAACCACAGUGGUAGGUUUCUGUUAAGGAGAAUGAGUAAUACCAUUCUAGCUGUGAAGGUUGCUGUGAGUGGGUAAUAAUUCCAUCUAACUGAUAGGUCAGAUUAUGUAUUCUACAAGCAACUAAAUAAUCCCAGGUAAAAUCUUGCCCUAUUUCUUCAGCUCAAUGAGAAAGCCCACCCACCAUACCCACUCAGAAGUUGCUCUAUGCAUGCUUGUAUAACUUUAGGAUUCAGGAACAGGUCUGUUCUCCAUCCUGCAUCCCCAAAGCAGCCUUGCUCAGGAACACAUUGUCUCCAGCCUUGGUGUGGAACGAGGAAUCUGUUCCUGCUGCUCCCAGGAUGUGGGAUGUGGGUUGAGCCUCAGCUCUGCAGCUGCAGACUGUGUGUGUGUGUCAGGGCCCCUCUCAGAGCCUCUCUCCCCAUUUCUCUUUAACACUGCAGGCUUCAGACCUUUCUGUGCACCAGGGAAAUUACUGAUCAAACCAGGGCUCACCCGAGUUCCCUCCUAGAGGGGAAUGUGUAUCUGUUCAGGAGAGGGAUGCAACAACCAUUUCAAAUUUUGUGUGCCAACCUAUUCUCCACAGACAACACAAACUGACAGAACACAGGUAAUAUAUUGUGCAUGCUGUGCCCAUUUCUUACUUUGUUUUACCAGGGAAAAUAGAUUAAAAUUGGUAUUAAGUUUCCUUCUUGUUCCUCCAAUAAUAAAAAAUUACCAGGGAAGUGAAAAUAAGACAGAUUUUUUCUCUAGAAAGGCCUUCCAGCUAAUUUUUUUUUUUUAAUAUUAUGAACCAUACUUGCCUGCCUUAAUAGAUGAGAAAAGUAACAGUAGAAAUGUGAAACAAAUUAAUACAUCAAAAAUAUCAACCCCUGGACCAUAGCUAAAUCUAUAUUCAUAUUUGUAAAAGUGUUGCAGAUCGAUAGUACAAGGCUAUACUGCUGCUAUACUGUAUACAUUGAUUUGUUGAAAUGAUAGUUAUGGGUGAGGUUCUAAACAGACACUGCAACACAUAAUAGAGGACUGACCUACUAACAGAUCAAAUAAUAAAACAGAUCUAAUAAAAAUAUCUAAUAAGGUGUGACAAGCACAUAGAUAAAGCAACCAAAAGCCUAAUGGUUUGUUUCACAUGUUCAUGAAAAACUUUUUUAUUGUUUUCUAUCUAUAUUAUUUAACAUUAAGAAUACAUUUUCCCUUAUAAAUUUUAAAUGCUGCUGGUCUGAAAUUUUUGUGCAGGCAGUCUAACUAACAUUGAACAGAAGUACAGUUUUUCCAGAUGGCAAACUUUCAAAAUUUUGGAAUUAUAAUCCUCCUGAUGCCUUCUAAUAUUAGUAUGCCUUUGCACUGGUGUAGCCUUGUUAUGGUCUUUUUUGGAAGUGUCACCUGCUUAGGUAAGAUUUAAUUUACCAAGAAAUGCUGAGAUAUGUUUCAUUUUCAUUAAGAUUUUGACUAUUUUCCUGAAUAGGAAUCUCUGUCCCUAGUUUUAACUUGUAAUACCCUGUUUAAAAAAGGAGUAGCUUCAGUCAUAGUGAGAGUACUUAUACAAGUUUUCACAAUUGAUUGCUGGGAUGAGAGCUGUAAAAACAAAGAUCAGGUGAAGAUCCUUUCUUGGAACACACUAGGAUAUGAGUCUCUAUUUUUAUUUGUACUGCAUAAGUCUACUUAUUUAAUAAACAAUAAUAACUUUAAUCAAAUAUCUUUAUAUUUUUGUGUGUCACUGGAGUCAAACAGCACACCUGCAAUGUGUGUGAAUCUUCUUGCAGUGCAUUCAGGUUUUGGCUUUCAUUAGGCAGUGAGACAUGCUGCCUGCAAAAAUAUCACACAACUUGAAAACGAGACUCUAAUUUCAUAUGGGAAAUGUAUUUCAACCCUCUUAUGUGACAUCAGAAUCACUGUGCCUUUAAUUGUGACUGUGGAAAUGAAAAUACCAGGCCACAGAAUUUGCAAUUAACUUGAGACAUCCAGAGGAGAUUCUGUGAGUUGGUUUAGUCUCUUUAUUUUGCCUUGUCUGAAAUCUGUCUGAUUUUUAAAAGAGCAAUUGUUAGUGGAGAUGUCUGUGUUUCAAUUGAAGUGCUCUAACAAGCUUUCUGGUCUCACUUGAGCACUAUAACAGAAUACCCAAAACAACUGAGAUGUCUUUAGGUCUUAGAUAUUUGGUUUAAAUAAACAAUUGUAUUGAAUACUCAGAAAGGUAAGAGUUCCUGAAGCAUCAGAAGACAGAGUUUAAAGAUCAGACUGAGCCAUGCCUCCUGCAUUUCCUUCUCCAGUGAAUCUGUCAGGACACUGACCAGCUGGGCUGCCAGAUUUUGGGCAAAUGCUCCUCCACGUUUUGGGUAAGUAAUCGCUUGGGCCUGGGAUCUACUGCACAGACUAUGCCUGAAGCCAUUUGCAGUCAUUUUAGAUGACAUACUGAAGUGGUCAGCAUAAGCUUAAAAACUUUAUCCAGCACUUUGACAGCAUGCCAGAAGAAAUUCCUUGGGAUUCGGAGUCUAAGAUUUCAUUUCAAUUAAUUGUCAGGAUGAUGAAUAUUAUUUAUUCCACUCUAAGGCUCUUUUUAAUCUAAAAUGUGGUCACAUAGGGUCCAUGCAGACAAAAUGAUAUUUCUUCCUACAUAGAAGCCCAUCUAGACAUAAUCCAGUUUGCUCUCCUGUGUCUGGAUUUGGCCUGCAAGGGUGACUGGAAUGGAGACUGAAGCUGGCCUAAGAUUUCCUGGCACUUGAACCUCAUGUAAUUAGGCAAGUCUACAUCCCACCAAAUAAAAUUAUUAUAAGCAACACUAUUAUGAAUUGAAACUCCUCAGAAUUGUUGAAUGCUGUCCAGUUUGGAAGAGGGGCUUCAUCAGGCAGAUCCUCAGCGAGGUGUUGGAGCCCAGUGGGCAGAGUGCUGGACAGGCAUUGAGAAAUCUGAGUUCUCUUCCAGACUCUCCUGACUUUUAAACAACCUUGAGCUGUCACUUCUCUGUGCUGCAGUUUCACAGUCUGUAGGAGCAGGAUAAUAAUCCUCCACAAAGGUUUGAGAGCUGCUGAAGGAAGGAUCUGUAUGAACACAACAUUUCUUGCACUAGCCUGAGCUAGGUGCAGCUGUGGUUAGAGGUGGCCAGGAUUGGGUCAAUUCCUCAUCUAUUCCAGAAAAUCUGGGAAAUUUUCUUUGUUAGACUCCUUCAGUUGUCUGUCAAAGCACAUUUUCAUGUUAAAGGUCUUCCUUGUCUUUCAGACCAUUACAAAAUGUCUCCAGAAAAUUUCAUUUUAUUUAGUUAUGCACUAAAAGUCACGGUUCAUACUCCUGUUACUGGGAACUGCAAAAUGCCUCUCAGGAUCAUACAAAUAAUUACUUAACAUGGAUAAUGUAUCUUUGACCUAAAAAAGAAAAGACUUUUGCAAUAUUAUGAUUAGUAUAUGUGGGGAAAAAAAUUAUCUCUUCGUUUAUGUUGAAAGAUAUUUCAAUUUGACUUUCAGUUUGAAAAAAUCCCCUUGAAAGUACAAAUUUUUUUUCAAAUUAUAUCUUGAUUGUACACAUUUUGUGUUAAUAGACAACAAGCUCUGUACACAAAAAAGAACAGUCUACUUUCAAAACUGCUGAAUGGUUUGACCUCAAGGGAAGAGAAACUGUUGACUCAUUGUUUUUACUGCAUAUAAUAUUAGUCCUUUGUCACAUCCAGGGAAUGACAUCAUCUUCCUCAUUGUUAGCAGCAGGUUUGAAUAACAGAAAAAGUGCAGCAUUAGUUGUCUGCUGUGUUUGUUCUUAAUAAAUGAAUGGGUAUCUGGUACCAAGAAUCAGAUUAGGGGUUUUGAGUAACAUUUAGAAGAAGUUUGUGCCCAGGCCCUGCGGAGAGUUUUGCUCCUGGCCACCAUCUGCAGGGCAGUGGAGCUGGCAGCAGCACGGAGCCUGCAGAGGGAACAUCACUGAUGGUUCUGGCUGCUCCAAAGUGAUAAGAGGAGGCAGGGAAGAAGAGACUGAGCACAGAAUGAAACAGAGCUGUUCUUCAAGGUCAGCUUAGUAAAAGGAAUCCCUGCACUUCUGUGAAUCAUACUUCUCUGGAAUCUAAAUUUAUGAAGAGUAAUUAUCUGAAAAGAAGUCAUCUCUAGGACACGCAAACAAAAAGGGAACUGGUUAUCUUCAAAAUGCACCAUUUCAUCCAUUCCAAAUUUUUAUUCAUGUCUAUUAGUCUUCUACUCCCUAUAAAUGAAGUAUCUAUGUCCUAUUCUCAAAGAGUAAUUUCUUAUCAGAAGUAUUUUGUUAUAUCUGCUUCAUGGAAGAGGGAUACAUCAUUUUAGAGAGUGAUCAGGCUGGUGGAAGUCUUCUUUGAUGUGAUAAACCACCUUCUUCUAUGGCAAAGAAAGUUUUAAGUGUUGCUUCCUGAACAGUAAAUAUUUCCAGUGAAACAGAAUUUACUGAGAGAGAUUCCUUGAGUGUCUGACAAAGUGCCAAAUCCUAAUCUGCAUUACCCACUGCCUCUAAGUUUUCCCAGGAAAAUGUGAUUAUUUAACUAUAAAAUUAUACCUUUGUGGUUCCAAAAAUAUUUAUGCUGAAGAUAAGUUCCUGUGUUGAGAGAAUGAAUCAAAUUGUACUUCGAAAAUCUGAAAUCCAUAGAGCUGUGAGAGAGGGAAGGCUGGGAAAGCUGGAGGCCAUGGGUUAAGGAAUCCAGGAUGGUUUAAUCACAGUGGUCCACAUGCCAAGAGUGGACUCAGGCAAGGGCUGCACAUGGAAAUGCUUCUAGAAUACCAGAGCUAAAAAUGAAAACACAAGCCAUGCAGUAAAAGGUAGAUCAGACCUUGUUGAUUUUGAAGCAGAUCUCACAUAUUGACCUCUUCACUCAUGCUGGUAGAGACCUGCCUUGCAUGUAAGUGGCUCAGGUUGGAGCAGGCCCAUCUAUCCCAAUUCCUAUCCCAAACUUACAUCUCAAUUUUCAGCCUUGUCUGUUGUGAGAAGUAGGAAGCACUGCACUUUUUCUCUGUAUGUUUCAUAUGUUUUUGCUGUUUUCUGUUCCAGUCCAGAGUGGUCUUCAAUGAACAUUUCCAAAAGAUCUCAAGUAGCAUGAAUUUUGGGGAGGCCAAAUCACUUGAUUUUCCCUUACCCUGUUUAGAAGAGGCUUUACUUGGACAAAAGAAUAAUGCCAGCCAUUUCCCUUCAUCCUUUAAAAUUACUGGCCACCUCUAAAGAACUUGGCCUCUCUUUUGUGUCACUUUUUGACAACUCAUUUGAGUUAAACAGGUUGCUGUAGCCAAAUUAAAUGCUUGGGAAAUGGACCAUACAAUUAAUUUGCACUAGUAAGUUGUCUCAGCAUCAUUUCUCUUCCUCUCAAGGGGAAUGCUGGCUCAAGCAAAAGAAAAGAUUAACGUAAUAAAAAUAUUCUAAAGACAUCCUGUUAAUUGUCCCAAGCUCAGAUGGUAUUGUCUGCUCUUCUGUUGUGCACAGCCAGCAAACAGUGUAAAAUCCAGAAUUCCUUCCCACCAUGAAAGCAGAGCUUCAGUGCUACAGGAUAAUCCCUGCCUUUCUGGAAAGCAGAUGAAAAUGUGGAGUGGCAGAGCUUUGCUUUGGGUUUCAGAGGAAACCUGGAGACAAACCUGCUUGGUUUUGCCUUCUACGUGAGCUGCGGUGGGAGAAGAUGCUUCUGCAUCCCUGGACGCGGGGCUGGGGGAGGAGAGCCCGGCGCAGCAGCGGGAUCCCGCCGCCGCCGCGGCCGCAAAGAUGUGUCAGAAACAUCCCCCCGGCAGGACGCGGGUCCCUUCUCUGUACUCACUGCGGCUGCGAAAGCGCCGGAGUUUCGCUGAGGAGACUCCAGUCCCGGCUGCGGGGAGAGGGAAGAAAGAGAGGGAAAAAGAGAAAAGGGAAAAAAAAAAAAAAAGAGACGAUAGGAAAAAUAAAAAAAAAAAAAAAAAGAGGGGGCGCAGGGCAAGUUGCGGCGGCGGGAGAGAGGCAGGGGGCGGCCGGGGUGUCGGAGCCCCGGCGCCGAGCAGCGCUGCCCGGCCCGCGGCCGCCCCGGGCCUGCCGGCGGGGGCCAGGACGCGGCGAAGCGGCGGCGGAGCCCGCGGAGGAAACUAAAUAAAUAAAAUCAGACUGUUAUUUAAGGCGCGUAAAUUUAAAAUUCUUUGGACAGGAAGAGCUCGGGGAGCGGAGCCGCAGGAGCCGAGUAACGGUUUCGGAGCGGGGCGCGGCCCCCCCGCCCCGCGGCCCCGCGCCCCGGGGCCCGCCCGGCCUCCCGCACCCCGGCCGGAGCGACCCUCCCUCCUCCCCGGGGACCCCGGCACAGCCCUCCGGGAGCACCGACAUUUUGAGUGCCUGUGUGGUGGGGCAGGCUGUGCUGAGAGCCGGUGAGAAAUCUUUCUUUCUCUCUCUGUCCUUCUUUCUUCUUUUUUUUAACUUUUUCUUCCUCAACCCCCCCCCCUCCCCCUCCCCUCACGCACAGGAUAACAGUCCCCACGGAUUUUUUUUUUUUUUUUUUGCAAAAGCUUUCCUCCCCUCGCUUUUUCGAGGGAAUUUCAGCACUUUAGUCAGGAGGUAAUAAUGUCUGGCUGCUUCUGGCUGCGCAGUGAAUUCCCAGGUACAUUUGUGGAAGAAACCCUUUUCUUUUUUUUAGAAGAUGAAAAGUAGUAGUUUUCUUCUGUGUUAACUCUUUCUUCAUGUGAACAAUGCAAGACAUCUCCUGGGGAGCUAACAUCUUACCCCACCAUGGAAUAAACCAUUGAUUCCAUGCCUCUCCCCACACUGAAAGCUGGAAAGAAAAUAUUUUCCUGUACUUAAAUGUGAGGUGGCUUAUUGCACUGGAGACUGAGCAAAAUUCACCCUCAAAUUCCUUCUCAUUCCCUCUCCCCCGGCUACGGGCAGGGCAGUGCCAGGGUUAGCCCUGCACCUCUGCCCCUCUCUGCCCAGCACCCACACAUCGGGUGUUUCACCCUCUCACGGUGCUGCUGCCACAGGGGAAACUCUCUUCGUUCCCUCUAGGAUCCCCUUUGGGAUCUGCCCCUUUCCAAAAGGAGUUCGGCAGCCCCCGCCGCUGUUCCGAGGGUGAUUUAGAAACAAAGGUCAAGUGUAACAGCUUUGCUCAUCCGUGGAACUGAAAUAGGGGAGAGGGCUCUUGCCCCACAGUUGUGUCCUCACACAGCCUGGUCACUGUGAAUCCUGGUGUAGCCACAUUUUAUGCUCUAUUUCUUCACAUUUUUCUGCGCUUGCUGUAUUUGUUUCUAUUUAUACCUCUCAUCUCGAUACUGCUCUGUUUGCUGCCGAUUCCCGAGCUGCUGCAGGGCGAUCUCGCUCCUGCCUGGACACUGACUUGGCAGUUGGUUUAUGUCUCAAUAAAAGCUCUCAAAAAUCUUUAAUUCCGUCUCACACGCUGCAGUUUUGCAUCUCUGGGUAAAUAGGGUUGUCGAAAUUUUCAGGAAUAUGCGAAUUUUUCAAACUGUACUUUUUGAUGUUGCCAAAAUGCUGGGGGAAAAGCGCCAAAGCAAUUUCUGAAACCACAUGAGAUAUUCCAAUCCUUUUUAGGUGUCAAGAUUCUCCAUUAAUGAGGCUUGCUUUAUAUUAUUUUCUCUUUGCUCAGUAAAUAUAAAGACUUCUGGAGGAAUGCCAUUCCCCAGCAGCCAGGCACCUUUUGUCACUGACAAUCCCUGUAAGGUGCGUGUCACCCACCAGCUGACUGAUUUCUUUGCUUUCCCAGAGGUUCUUCGCAGUAACUCUUAACCUCCUGGGAUAAUAGAGAGCAACUUUUGCUUUCUAAGUACCUAACUAGGAAUUUCAAUUGAUCAUCUUGUUUCCGAUAAGCUGAGGGGCUUAGUGAGAAAGCGCGGCAGUGAAAUCAGAUAAAGCGCACCUUUAAACCAGACUAUCGCCCGUGACUCAGCCCCGAGGCUUUGGGCAUGGCCGGGGGCUGGUUCGUCCUGGCUUUAACCCUGAACUCCUGGCACGCAAUAAAAGCCGCUAUUUCUGCCUAGGCGGGGCAUUUUUCUCGGAAGAGAAGUCGUUCUAUUAAGCCACUGCUUAAACUUUGCCUUAGCGUAAAUUAAAUGCUGAUGAAGUUCCAAACCGGCUUGGAAUGAGGUUUUUUUUUUUAGUAGCACAGGUGAAAAUUAAAACCAAACCAACCAAACAAACAUGAGAAAGCUGGAUAUUGCCCUAUGGUGUAGCACGGAAUUCCUCUUUGGGAGAAGAAAAGAGAAGGAAAAGGCUUGGAGCAUCCUCCAAGAUAUGAGGAAAGAAAGAUGGAGAGCAACACAAAGAUUUGGGUCACUUCACCUCAUGGACCUGUGGAUUACGUUGCUCGGUUUAAUAUUUCAGGUGGUUUAGUGCUCUUUCUACCCGGGAUUUUGGGGGUUAUUUCCCCAAUAAUGCUCCCUAUGUGCUGUGCUGCUCCAAUUAAUGAUCAUGCGCACAAAUGUUCAUAUUUCACAGAGGUUUUUAAUCAGAACACAGCAGUGUGACAGAGCUUAUAGUAAAUGUGACAGACAGUUUCAGCAAUUUUUUUUUUUUUUACUCGAAAGUGUAGCAACUGAUUUUGGGGGCUAAUUAAAAAAAAAAAAAAGUUAAAAACUAAA
This is a long non-coding RNA of Prinia subflava (tawny-flanked prinia), 14721 nucleotides long. RefSeq lists it as uncharacterized. The transcript has 7 exons. Lineage: Eukaryota; Metazoa; Chordata; Aves; Passeriformes; Cisticolidae. The record is from RefSeq and is a predicted model, not a curated record.